CCCCCAGAGUGUGUCAGGCAUCAGCCAGGCAUCGCUCAGCCCCUUUCCCUCUGGGGGAGCAAGGAGUGGUGCUGGGUUUGUCUCUGCUGGGGUUUCUCCU
Chlorocebus sabaeus (green monkey) is the source of this 100-nucleotide microRNA precursor. NCBI's taxonomy places the organism in Eukaryota, Metazoa, Chordata, Mammalia, Primates, Cercopithecidae. The record is from Ensembl.